GCCAGGGAUGGUUGUGGACACCUGGAAUCCCUGCUGCUGGGGAGGCUGAGGCUGGUGGAUUGAGUUCUGAGCUGCGGUAUGGCUAAAGACGAUCAGGUAUAUACACUAAGUCUGGCAUCAAUAUGGCGAGUCUUCAGUGGGGGCUACCAAGCUGCCUCAGGAGGGGCAAACCUGCUCAGGUCAGAAACAGAACAGGUCAAAGCUUCUGUAACAAUCAGCAGUAGGAUUGGGCCUAGGGAUGGCUGCUGUAUUUUCAGCUAGAGCCAGAU
This 269-nucleotide non-coding RNA is filed under the name Phascolarctos cinereus (koala). The record is from RNAcentral. Lineage: Eukaryota; Metazoa; Chordata; Mammalia; Diprotodontia; Phascolarctidae.